UGUGUGUUAGCUUAAUUGGCAGAGCAGUGUGUUACGGCCACAUUUAUACAAGUUCGAGUCUUGUACACAUAA
RNAcentral lists this transfer RNA (72 nucleotides) under Microbacterium laevaniformans OR221. Its description in RNAcentral is "tRNA-Arg". It matches the Rfam family "tRNA". From Rfam's summary of the family: Transfer RNA (tRNA) molecules are approximately 80 nucleotides in length. Their secondary structure includes four short double-helical elements and three loops (D, anti-codon, and T loops). Lineage: Bacteria; Bacillati; Actinomycetota; Actinomycetes; Micrococcales; Microbacteriaceae. The record is from RNAcentral.